UUGAACGCUGGCGGCCUGCCUUACACAUGCAAGUCGAACGGUAACAGGUUAAGCUGACGAGUGGCGAACGGGUGAGUAAUGUAUCGGAACGUGCCCAGUCGUGGGGGAUAACUGCUCGAAAGAGCAGCUAAUACCGCAUACGACCUGAGGGUGAAAGCGGGGGAUCGCAAGACCUCGCGCGAUUGGAGCGGCCGAUAUCAGAUUAGGUAGUUGGUGAGGUAAAGGCUCACCAAGCCGACGAUCUGUAGCUGGUCUGAGAGGACGACCAGCCACACUGGGACUGAGACACGGCCCAGACUCCUACGGGAGGCAGCAGUGGGGAAUUUUGGACAAUGGGCGCAAGCCUGAUCCAGCCAUGCCGCGUGCGGGAAGAAGGCCUUCGGGUUGUAAACCGCUUUUGUCAGGGAAGAAAAGGUUCUGGCUAAUACCUGGGACUCAUGACGGUACCUGAAGAAUAAGCACCGGCUAACUACGU
This 475-nucleotide ribosomal RNA is filed under the name uncultured bacterium. RNAcentral's name for it is "partial 16S ribosomal RNA". It matches the Rfam family "Bacterial small subunit ribosomal RNA", at positions 30 to 506 of the family's 1533-position model. The record is from RNAcentral.